GCUGGGUGUGGUGGCGCACGCCUGAAAUCCCAGCAGCUCGGGAGGCUGAGGCAGGAGGAUUGGGAGCUCAGAGCCAGCCUCAG
This 83-nucleotide small RNA is filed under the name Marmota monax (woodchuck). The record is from RNAcentral. Lineage: Eukaryota; Metazoa; Chordata; Mammalia; Rodentia; Sciuridae.